Molecule: long non-coding RNA, 162 nt
Organism: Haliotis rubra (blacklip abalone)
Lineage: Eukaryota; Metazoa; Mollusca; Gastropoda; Lepetellida; Haliotidae
Exons: 4
Source: RefSeq, a predicted model, not a curated record
GUUUCAUGUGCGAAACAGCUCUUUAUUUCUUACCCAUCUAUAGACUAAACCUAGUCUGGUGGUUUAUUUUCUUGCGUAAUUUAUAUAAAUGACCAGUCUAAAAACUAUUAUCCGGUUUGGACCAGUUUGCAGAGACGACUUUUAGGGAUCAUGAAUAUUUUG